ACUGUGGGAGAAAUCUUUCUAACACACAGGAGGAAAGGAGGAAAGAAACCAGCCUCUCAAAGCUGUGGGCUGUGGCAGGACCGUGAUGGUUAUCUUCCUGGGCGAUCAUCAACAUCCCCUAAAGGUGGAAUGACUGGCUCAGCUGAAUGGGCCAGGGAACAUGAAUCUGAAAUCAAAACGCUGGUUGAAGGGCACAGUCUAUGAGGAGAGGCAGCGGAUGUAUGUGGACAAUCACAUGUGCCGGGGUGUAAGUUUGGUUCAUUUGGAAGUGAGAGCAGCUGAAUCUCCUUGUUGCUCAGUGAUCAACACAUCUUCUGGGAAAACCAUCCCGUUUCAGACAACUUCCAGCCUGAGGACUCGGCAGGACUCUCUCCCUCUCACAUAAUUUCACUUCCUUAGCGUGUCACUGGACGAGCAGCGUCAGCCUCCUGUGGAGCUCAUUAGAAAUGCGGGCUCUCAGGCUCCAUUGCAGACCUGUGGCAUCAGAAUCUGCUUUUUAGUAGGAUUCCAAGCACAGUCUGACGCAGGCCUGGUUAGCAGAGGUCUCCCUGAGAGGGAUCUCAUUGUUGUGAUCUACAGGAGCCAGGAAGAGGAACCAGCCCUCGGAGGGAGCUGGUCAGCUGGGGCCGUGACAACAGGCUGCACUCAAAGGAACAGGUCCCCUUCAGCUCCAAAAGAUUGGCGUCAUCUGAGAAUGUGGACCCAGCGUGGGCAGAUUUUUCUAGUGUCUAGAAGUGACUGUGCAAACCCAAAACAAAACUAAAAAGACAUAUUUGUGGGCCACCAAGAACCUCUGGUAUGAAGUAAAUUAUACAGGCAUUGGACAGUAACAACCCAUCCAAGGGAGCUGUGGGCGGAGGUGUGGCAUCUGCUCAUUCCUGUCGUAGGGAGGUGAGCUCUACCACGGGGCAGUGGAGUGAACAAUGCCCGGAGAUUAUCCAAAACCCUUUGCUUUAAUUUUCCGCUUACCCAACAGACUUCUAAUUCAGGUUUACAACAAAGUUUAAAACCAGCAAGGGGGGGAUCUGGAUAAGGCACUAUACCUAUUUCGGUCCCCAGAAAGGGCUAUUCCUGCAUAUCAAUAAAUCAGCAUUCUGAUUUCCUACUGACCUCUUUGCUGAGUUUGUCUGCCUUGUAGAGCUUUGGGCAGCUCUGGGUAAGCUAACGAAAUAAAAUUCUGGUGCUGAAAAGCUGUUUGUGACCCUGAUCAACAGUGACCUAGGUUUGGUCACUGCUCCCUCUCCAGACACCAACCAGUGGGCCAUCUCUCUGUGAAUGUGGCAGGCACCAUUUUGCUGGGGAAGGAGGUUAAAUCUUUAGCCUUGUCAUUGACUCAGCUUUGUAAUUCAAGACUCUUUUCUCUCAUCCUUUGAUUUUCAGCCCCCAGACUUUUCUCUCCAUGUCCUUGCCCCCCGGCACUUCCAAUUGUCUAGCACCUAAGUGUAUUUGGGCAUUCCCUGUCUUCCCAAAUUAUCUUUACUCUUCUUCCUUACUUCUUCAUCCUUCUCUUGUUUUAUUCCUUUCAUUACUUUUUGUUCUUUUAUUUUGCAAACUCACCUGCUUCCUCAGUGAUCUUUUUAAGAUCCCAUAUGUUACAGAUUCAUGAGGAUGGAAACAUUCCUUUAGAGCUGGGCUGACCAAUGUGGUAGCCACUAGCUACACGUGAUUAUCGAACAUGUG
Long non-coding RNA from Equus asinus (donkey), 1680 nucleotides. Lineage: Eukaryota; Metazoa; Chordata; Mammalia; Perissodactyla; Equidae. The record is from Ensembl.